GACGAACGCUGGCGGCGUGCUUAACACAUGCAGGUCGAACGGAAAGGCCCUGCUUGCAGGGUGCUCGAGUGGCGAACGGGUGAGUAACACGUGGGUGAUCUGCCCCUUACUUUGGGAUAAGCCUGGGAAACUGGGUCUAAUACUGGAUAGGACCAUGCUGUAGGUGGUGUGGUGGAAAGAUUAGUUUCGGUAAGGGAUGAGCUCGCGGCCUAUCAGCUUGUUGGUGGGGUAAUGGCCUACCAAGGCGUCGACGGGUAGCCGGCCUGAGAGGGUGGACGGCCACAUUGGGACUGAGAUACGGCCCAGACUCCUACGGGAGGCAGCAGUGGGGAAUAUUGCACAAUGGGCGCAAGCCUGAUGCAGCGACGCCGCGUGGGGGAUGACGGCCUUCGGGUUGUAAACUCCUUUCAGCCAUGACGAAGCCCUUGUGGUGACGGUAGUGGUAGAAGAAGCACCGGCUAACUACGUG
Molecule: ribosomal RNA, 469 nt
Filed under: uncultured bacterium
Lineage: Bacteria
Description: partial 16S ribosomal RNA
Rfam family: Bacterial small subunit ribosomal RNA
Source: RNAcentral